RNAcentral lists this ribosomal RNA (496 nucleotides) under uncultured bacterium. RNAcentral's name for it is "partial 16S ribosomal RNA". It matches the Rfam family "Bacterial small subunit ribosomal RNA", at positions 28 to 506 of the family's 1533-position model. The record is from RNAcentral.
GAUGAACGCUGGCGGCGUGCCUAAUACAUGCAAGUCGAGCGAACAGACGAGGAGCUUGCUCCUCUGACGUUAGCGGCGGACGGGUGAGUAACACGUGGAUAACCUACCUAUAAGACUGGGAUAACUUCGGGAAACCGGAGCUAAUACCGGAUAAUAUAUUGAACCGCAUGGUUCAAUAGUGAAAGACGGUUUUGCUGUCACUUAUAGAUGGAUCCGCGCCGCAUUAGCUAGUUGGUAAGGUAACGGCUUACCAAGGCAACGAUGCGUAGCCGACCUGAGAGGGUGACCGGCCACAGUGGAACAGAGACACGGUCCAGAAUCCCACGGGAGGCAGCAGUAGGGAAUCUUCCGCAAUGGGCGAAAGCUUGAAGGAGCAACGCCGCGUGAGUGAUGAAGGUCCUCGGAUCGUAAAACUCUGUUAUGAGGGAAGAACAAAUGUGUAAGUAACUAUGCAAGUCUUGACGGUACCUAAACAGAAAGCCACGGCUAACUACGU